AAACUUCCAGUCCCAGUGAAUGAAGGAGACAGGGAAAGGAUUGAGCCGAAUGUCCCGAUCCUGCCAAUGUCUGGACAGGAGUUUGCAGCUCUGACGAAGGAGCUGAACUUAUGUCGGGAGCAGCUGCUGGAGAGGGAGGAAGAGAUUGCAGAGCUGAAGGCGGAACGGAACAACACGCGGCUGCUCCUGGAACACCUGGAGUGCCUGGUGUCCAGGCACGAGAGGUCACUGCGCAUGACCGUGGUGAAGCGCCAGGCCCAGUCCCCGGGUGGGGUCUCCUCGGAGGUAGAAGUGCUCAAAGCUCUAAAGUCUCUCUUCGAGCACCACAAGGCCCUGGAUGAGAAGGUCCGGGAGCGGCUGCGGAUGGCGCUGGAGCGCGUGGCAGUGCUCGAGGAGGAGCUGGAACUGAGCAAUCAGGAGACUCUGAACCUUCGAGAACAGCUGUCUAGGCGGCGGUCAGGGCUGGAAGAGCCGGGCAAGGAUGGGGAUGGGCAGACUCUUGCCAAUGGCCUGGGUCCUGGCGGGGAUUCCAACCGGCGCACAGCAGAGCUGGAGGAGGCCCUGGAGCGGCAGCGCGCCGAGGUGUGCCAGCUGCGGGAGCGCCUGGCGGUGCUGUGCCGUCAGAUGAGCCAGCUGGAGGAGGAGUUGGGCACCGCGCACCGUGAGCUGGGCAAGGCAGAGGAAGCCAACUCCAAGCUGCAGCGCGACCUCAAGGAGGCGCUGGCGCAGCGGGAAGAUAUGGAGGAGCGGAUUACAACACUGGAGAAGCGCUACCUGAGCGCCCAGCGGGAGGCCACGUCUCUGCACGACGCCAACGACAAACUGGAGAACGAGUUAGCUAGCAAGGAGUCGCUGUAUCGGCAGAGUGAAGAGAAGAGCCGUCAGCUGGCCGAGUGGUUGGACGACGCCAAGCAGAAGCUGCAGCAGACGCUGCAGAAAGCGGAGACCUUGCCCGAGAUAGAGGCGCAGCUGGCGCAGCGCGUGGCGGCGCUCAACAAGGCCGAGGAACGUCAUGGGAAUUUUGAGGAGCGGCUUCGGCAGCUGGAGGCCCAGCUGGAAGAGAAGAAUCAAGAGCUGCAGCGGGCCCGGCAGCGGGAGAAGAUGAACGAUGACCACAAUAAGCGGCUUUCCGAGACAGUGGACAAGCUGCUGAGCGAGUCCAACGAGCGCUUACAGCUUCACCUCAAGGAGCGCAUGGGGGCGCUGGAGGAGAAGAACUCUCUGAGCGAGGAGAUAGCCAACAUGAAGAAGCUUCAGGAUGAGUUGCUGCUAAACAAGGAGCAGCUCUUGGCCGAAAUGGAGCGGAUGCAGAUGGAGAUCGACCAGCUGCGGGGGAGGCCACCAUCCUCCUACUCCAGGUCUCUCCCUGGCAGUGCCCUGGAGCUCCGUUACUCUCAGGCACCCACUUUACCUUCUGGUGCCCACCUGGAUCCCUAUGUGGCUGGCAGUGGUCGGGCAGGCAAGAGGGGCCGCUGGUCAGGGGUCAAGGAGGAGCCCUCCAAGGAUUGGGAGCGGUCUGCCCCUGCGGGCUCCAUACCACCCCCAUUCCCUGGGGAACUGGACGGCUCCGAUGAGGAGGAGGCAGAGGGGAUGUUUGGGGCCGAGCUGCUGUCCCCCAGUGGGCAGGCUGACGUGCAGACGCUGGCCAUCAUGCUUCAGGAACAGCUGGAGGCCAUCAACAAGGAGAUCAAGUGAGCCCUGGCCCCGCCCCGGCCUGCCCUGCCCUGCCGGAGCUGACUCCACAGCCCUUCUGGCUCUGGAGGUCUGAAAGCCUGAGUCCGUCUCCUCUUACACCAUCCACAAGGAAUUCUUCCAGCCCAACACUCACUCCGCUGUCCAGGCAUCCCCUAGGAUACACUCAGAAGUCUUCUAUGUGCUACCUACACAUAUACCCCCCAGCCAAUACUCACCAUUCCCCAACACACCAAAGCCUGCAUCCCCAAAUAGCCCAGUUCCUCUUGAUGCAUCAAGAAUCUUCCAUUACGCCAUCGAUUUUGUGGUUUCACAUAACCAGUGCCCA
This 2020-nucleotide small RNA is filed under the name Pan troglodytes (chimpanzee). RNAcentral's name for it is "retained intron". The record is from RNAcentral. Lineage: Eukaryota; Metazoa; Chordata; Mammalia; Primates; Hominidae.